CCAGCAGAAUACACAUAGUAAAAUUUAACAACUAACCCUUAUCAUAUUAGUUUACCCUAUGUUUAUUCUCUCACAGUUGGUAAUUUCAAGGUUCUUUUCUACUUUCACUUCUCUAUAAAUGUUUUGUUAUUUUGCUAAAAUACUGUGUAAACUCAAGUUUUAACCAAACUUUUGAGUUAUUCAUCUCUGGAGACUCCCAUGUGUCAGAAGCAUGAUAUACUGUUGAUAAACUUUUGGUUCUUUUUCUGUUAAUCUCUUUUUUGUUAUAGUGGCCCCAGCUAAGAAUUUGGAAGGGUGAAAAGAAAGUUAUUUUUUCUCCCUUACACUGGUAAAAUGAUAGCUGCAAGGAUGUCUGUCACGGGACAAUAAAGUGAAAAAUUUACCAUUCACUAUCUCCAAACUAUUUAGAGGUCCCAGUUUGUUAAGGAAAUCGAAGGGUGUGAUCAACAGCUCGUGCACUGCCGUGCUGCGAACCCAGAGUUCAGGCACUGACGUGGCGCUUCUGAUGGGUAGGUACGUGAUGUAACCCUCACUUGUGCUUUGAUUCUGUUACCCGCUUCCACACAAUGGGCUCCCCGCUCAAGGCAGGUGCCUCACUGAAUUUCCCGUGUUAGUGUCUGGUUGGCACUGUGUCUGUCCAUCUAUAUUCAGUUGCUGUAAUUGUUUACUGUGACGAUCAGGAGAGUUCUUGCCCAUGCGAUUGCGUUAUCAGCCUACUUGGUGAGCUCCGAUACCCCUGAGCUCAGUUUAGCUCAAAGCCCAGAAAAGCCUUUGUUUUAACUAGAGCCGAUUCUGCACAUCUGAGAGGUGUGGCACAUAACUCCCGGGCAUGUUUGGGGUUUUAAUCCAGUUUAUACUGGUG
RNAcentral lists this long non-coding RNA (862 nucleotides) under Sus scrofa (pig). Its description in RNAcentral is "lncRNA (ENSSSCG00025000236.1)". Lineage: Eukaryota; Metazoa; Chordata; Mammalia; Artiodactyla; Suidae. The record is from RNAcentral.